CCAUUCCUUUCUACUCUCUCUCUCUCCAAAAACAACUGUGGAGGUUUGCGUUUGUAUACUCAGAAAUUGAUCUUUAGAUUUUUUUUUUUUUUUUGUGCACGGUGGUCGGCCGGUGAUUCUGGCUGAGUUAGGUGUUCAACUCGGCGGCGGCGACAACGGCGGAAGAUUGAAAUUUAAAGGUUGUAUUAUGGGGUUUUGGCAUCAGAUGAUUUUUCCUGUACGGCGGGUUUGGCUCGCCGUUUAUGUCCGUCUUAAAGCUCGCAAAAACGAUGAAGGACUCCUGAAGCUCCACGAUGAUGUUGAAACGUGUGGUUAUCAAGAUGUAAAGGUUAUGUGGGAAAUACUGAGGAGAUCGGAAGCCGAGUUAAUUAAUCAUCAUCCACAAAUGAGGCGCAAACACAAGCCAUUUUGGAAGGCCUUCGUGUGGUCUAACCCUAGCUCCAACCCAUCCACUAGUAUAGCUAAAAUAACAAAUUUUCCAACUUUCAACCCUGUUUCAUAGGGAGACAAGUCAAGUUUUCUCCCCUCAUGAAAUGCCUUAAAAAAAUAAUGUGAAAAUCUUAAUGUUGUAUCUUUGGCACUUUUUAGGCCAAAUUGUGUCUAGAGAAAGUGAAUUGUUGUAAAUAGAAAUAAUAAUUGCUUCUAAAAGGUUUCCAAGAAAAAGCUCAAAUUAAUACUUUGGGAGUUGGGAGAAAUAAUCCACUUCACCUUUGUUAAAAGGUGUAUUGUAC
Molecule: non-coding RNA, 731 nt
Organism: Benincasa hispida (wax gourd)
Lineage: Eukaryota; Viridiplantae; Streptophyta; Magnoliopsida; Cucurbitales; Cucurbitaceae
Source: RefSeq, a predicted model, not a curated record